GUACUGCUGAAGAGUCCCAAAGUAGGCUGACGAAACAGCUGUCCAGUAC
Trichobilharzia regenti is the source of this 49-nucleotide non-coding RNA. NCBI's taxonomy places the organism in Eukaryota, Metazoa, Platyhelminthes, Trematoda, Strigeidida, Schistosomatidae. The record is from Rfam.